ACGGAUUUCUUCGGAUUGAAGCCUUGGUGACUGAGCGGCGGACGGGUGAGUAACGCGUGGGUAACCUGCCUCAUACAGGGGGAUAACAGUUGGAAACGGCUGCUAAUACCGCAUAAGCGCACAGUACCGCAUGGUACGGUGUGAAAAACUCCGGUGGUAUGAGAUGGACCCGCGUCUGAUUAGGUAGUUGGUGGGGCAACGGCCUACCAAGCCGACGAUCAGUAGCCGACCUGAGAGGGUGACCGGCCACAUUGGGACUGAGACACGGCCCAAACUCCUACGGGAGGCAGCAGUGGGGAAUAUUGCACAAUGGGGGAAACCCUGAUGCAGCGACGCCGCGUGAGCGAUGAAGUAUUUCGGUAUGUAAAGCUCUAUCAGCAGGGAAGAAAAUGACGGUACCUGACUAAGAAGCCCCGGCUAACUACGUGCCAGCAGCCGCGGUAAUACGUAGGGGGCAAGCGUUAUCCGGAUUUACUGGGUGUAAAGGGAGCGUAGACGGCAUGGCAAGCCAGAUGUGAAAGCCCGGGGCUCAACCCCGGGACUGCAUUUGGAACUGUCAGGCUAGGGUGUCGGAGAGGAAAGCGGAAUUCCUAGUGUAGCGGUGAAAUGCGUAGAUAUUAGGAGGACACCAGUGGCGAAGCGGCUUUCUGGACG
RNAcentral lists this ribosomal RNA (654 nucleotides) under uncultured Lachnospiraceae bacterium. RNAcentral describes it as "bacterial SSU rRNA". It matches the Rfam family "Bacterial small subunit ribosomal RNA", at positions 70 to 735 of the family's 1533-position model. The record is from RNAcentral. Lineage: Bacteria; Bacillati; Bacillota; Clostridia; Lachnospirales; Lachnospiraceae.